GAUGAACGCUGACAGAAUGCUUAACACAUGCAAGUCAACUUGAAUUUGGGUUUUUAACUUAGGUUUGGGUGGCGGACGGGUGAGUAACGCGUAAAGAACUUGCCUCACAGCUAGGGACAACAUUUGGAAACGAAUGCUAAAACCUAAUAUUAUGAUAAUAGGGCAUCCUAUAAUUAUGAAAGCUAUAAGCGCUGUGAGAGAGCUUUGCGUCCCAUUAGCUAGUUGGAGAGGUAACGGCUCACCAAGGCGAUGAUGGGUAGCCGGCCUGAGAGGGUGAUCGGCCACAAGGGGACUGAGACACGGCCCUUACUCCUACGGGAGGCAGCAGUGGGGAAUAUUGGACAAUGGACCGAGAGUCUGAUCCGGCAAUUCUGUGUGCACGAUGAAGUUUUUCGGAAUGUAAAGUGCUUUCAGUUGGGAAGAAAAAAAUGACGGUACCAACAGAAGAAGUGACGGCUAAAUACGUG
Molecule: ribosomal RNA, 467 nt
Filed under: uncultured bacterium
Lineage: Bacteria
Description: partial 16S ribosomal RNA
Rfam family: Bacterial small subunit ribosomal RNA
Source: RNAcentral